This 2125-nucleotide small RNA is filed under the name Pongo abelii (Sumatran orangutan). RNAcentral's name for it is "retained intron". The record is from RNAcentral. Lineage: Eukaryota; Metazoa; Chordata; Mammalia; Primates; Hominidae.
GUUGCCAUGGAUCCUGCAGACGACUGGCUGGUGGACUCCUUGCGCUUGUACCAGGAUUUCUAUGCAUUCGACCUCUCAGGAGCGACUCGAGUCCUUGAAUGGAUUGAUGACAAAGGAGUCUUUGUUGCUGGCUAUGAAAGCCUGAAAAAGAAUGAAAUUCUUCAUCUGAAAUUACCUCUCAGACUUUCUGUAAACGAAAACAAGGGCUUAUUCCCAGAAAGAGAUUUCAAAGUGCGCCAUGGAGGAUUUUCAGACAGGUCUAUCUUUGAUCUAAAGCACGUGCCACAUACCAGGUAUGGUCAAUUUUGUGAUCCAGCCAUCCACACAGGAUGGAAUGGGAUGGCUGCAAAUGCCUGGGGGUAUUCUGCCUCCUCAUCUCCAUUCCCACCCCCUCAGCACACGGGCACAUGUGAGUGCACAAGUGUGUGCACACAGAUACACACAGAUUCAGAAUACAAAGAAACCACUGCUGUGGCUUCAUAGCCCCCCAGAGCCCUUUGACUAAUGUAAGCAACAGGUCUACCGGAGUUGCUCCAGGGAAUAGAUAUGGGACAGAAAGAUGCUCUUCUGUUGCUCUUGGGUGAUAAUUGCUCAGUUGGGAGAGGCCAGGAGUCUCUGGGUCAGGUUGUGUUUGGCCCCAUACUGGUGUCCUCUGUAGGUGACCAUCAUGACACAUGGAAGCUUGGGCUCAGUCUCCCUGAAGUGGAUUGAGCCUGCUCCUUAUCUGUGAAGUGAGGGUGGUUGGCCUUGAUGAUCUUGCAGUAAGAUGUCCUGAUAUGGGAAGUGGAGUCCCAAGCUAAGUGCGCUGGGAAGGGGAAGGGACCUGUGUGGAUAAGCUCCCCAUGGUCUGGACUGAUUUUCUGUCUUUUCUGAAUAGAUUGUUGGUUACCAGUGGCCUUCCAGGUUGUUACCUGCAGGUGUGGCAGGUUGCAGAGGACAGUGAUGUCAUUAAAGCUGUCAGCACCAUUACUGUGCACGAGAAAGAGGAGAGUCUCUGGCCUAGGGUGGCCGUCUUCUCCGCAGUGGCACCCAGAGUCCUCCAUGGGGCGAGGCUCCGCAGUCUGCAGGUCGUUGAUCUGGAGUCCCGGAAGACCACGUACACCUCAGAUGUCAGUGACAGUGAGGAGCUGAGUAGCCUGCAGGUCCUAGAUGCAGACACCUUUGCCUUCUGCUGUGCUUCAGGCCAGCUGGGGCUUGUUGACACCCGCCAGAAGUGGGCACCGUUGGAGAAUCGCAGCCCUGGCCCUGGGUCUGGUGGAGAGAGAUGGUGUGCUGAAGUUGGGAGCUGGGGCCAGGGCCCUGGGCCCAGCAUUGCCAGCCUUGGCUCAGAUGGGCGUCUUUGUCUUCUUGAUCCCCGGGAUCUCUGCCAUCCUGUGAGCUCAGUCCAGUGCCCAGUAUCCAUACCUAGCCCUGACCCAGAGCUGCUGCGAGUGACUUGGGCCCCAGGCCUGAAGAAUUGCUUGGCCAUCUCAGGUUUUGAUGGUACAGUCCAGGUCUAUGAUGCCACAUCUUGGGAUGGAACACGGAGCCAAGUAGAACCUCUCUUCACUCACAGAGGUCACAUCUUCCUAGAUGGAAACGGGAUGGACCCUGCUCCUUUGGUCACCACCCACACCUGGCAUCCCUGCAGACCAAAGACUUUGUUAUCAGCAACAAAUGAUGCCUCUCUGCAUGUGUGGGACUGGGUGGACCUUCGUGCCCCCCACUGACACCAGCAUCUUUUCAUCCUGGCCUCUAGAAAGGGGAGGAGCUGCUGUAGUAGCAAAGGUACUGAUGUAGGACUCAAGUGACUGCCAGUCCCUGUUACCAGCUGUGUGGCCUUGGGCAAGUCCACCAGCGUCACUUAGCCUCAGUUUCCUUAUCUGUAAAAUGAGGAUAGUAAGAACUACCUCGUAGUGAUAUUGCGAAGGUUAGAAGAAACGCAUGGCUUAAUUACUUGGUAGCUAUUGUUAGAUCUGGGAGUGUAAAAUGGCAGCGUUUUGUCCCUGUCUUCACACUAUCAUAGGAAGAAUCAAAAGAGCUAACAAAUAUAAACGUGCUUUGUGAAUUUUUUUAAAGAAAAAAAUGUAGAGGGGCCAAUAAACAUGAAAAAAAUCCCAGCCCUAGUAGCAAUUAAGGAAAUAGC